GUGUCAGCAGCCGCGGUAAGACGGAGGGUGCGAGCGUUGUUCGGAAUUACUGGGCGUAAAGCGCGCGCAGGUGGGUGCGUAAGUCGGAGGUGAAAGCGCAGGGCUCAACCCUGCGACGCCCUUCGAGACUGCGUGUCUAGGGACCGGUAGAGGUGAGUGGAAUUCCCGGUGUAGCGGUGGAAUGCGUAGAUAUCGGGAAGAACACCGGAGGCGAAGGCGGCUCACUGGGCCGGAUCCGACACUGAGGCGCGAAAGCGUGGGGAGCAAACAGGAUUAGAAACCCUAGUAGUCC
RNAcentral lists this ribosomal RNA (292 nucleotides) under uncultured bacterium. Its description in RNAcentral is "partial 16S ribosomal RNA". It matches the Rfam family "Bacterial small subunit ribosomal RNA", at positions 505 to 796 of the family's 1533-position model. The record is from RNAcentral.